UAGGUACUUUUCUACGCCAAUCAAUUGACGUUUAAUGCUUCGGUCAUCGAUGAUGGCUGCAAAACUACGAUCCGUGUUAAGUACGUAUAGGUAUAAAUUAAAAGACUGAUUUUAAAUUAAAUAAAGUUAGUAUCAAUUUUACUUGAUUAUAUCGUGAAAAGCGGCAACGUCAAAUUUAAAGUUCUACCAAAUUUUUUGUGUUAUAAUUGGGAUUUUUUAUAAUAUUUCUAAUCAGAAUCACGAGCUUUUGACAUUACCAAGAAAUAAAUGUUCCCAAAUCUUAUAUUCCGUUUUGUUGCGUUUUAAAUACAACAUUCCAUGACCGUAACAAAACGGACAAAAAAAUUACUUAUGAAUUUUUCUCUUAUUAGGAGAGCUCGUGGCUUCUUCCUAAAAUCUUAAAUGCAAGUAAGGAUUACAAUUUUAACUAGAAAUGGCCAUUUGUAAUGCAAGCCGUUUAGACCCAUGUCGAAUUGUCGAACUUUAAAUCAUGACAGUUCAGUCACGACAUCGACACCGUAAAACAACAAUAUAAUAGUGGCCAUAAAGGUGACGUUCUGAUGUCAACUGCAACUCCAUUACUGUUGUUGCAUCGUUGUUGUCGCCUUACCUAUUAAUUUCUUUGAUUAUCAGUGAUGGAAUGAACGUUAUUGUCGUAAUCUUUAUCGCGGCAGUAAUGUUGCGGCAAAUAGUUAUUUUAUUAAGGAAAUUGACAGACACAGUAGCACGGUACAUGAAUUUGUGAGUCACAAACACAUAGUUUUUAAAUUUUCUUAGUUGUUUUGUUGUUUAUAUUAUACAUUGCCUUUGUCCAAUUUCAGUCAAAUUCACCAUAUCCAAAAAAGGCAAGCGUCUACUGGUAUAUGACGGGUUCACCUACUACGCCAAAUCAUUUUUGAGCGGCAACUUGCGUUGGUGUUGCUCCACACAUAUUUCUCGAGGGUGCUACGCGGUUGUUUAUACUUUUGAGGAUGUAAUAGGUAGUGAGGACGAAAGGAACUCAUAAUCAUGGUUCACCUGGAGGAUAUUCAUAAAAAGAUGUAUUUUGUAGUUUGUUUGUAGAAUUUAUAUCCAUGAGUGAAAAUGGAAUAAGGUGAUUUUAUUUUUCGCCGACCGCCAUCAAUUUAAAAAAUAAUAUGUAUGGCGCUGCGUUGAGCGUGAACGCUUUGAGCGAGUGUUUCAUAGUGAAAGCGUUUAUGUUUUUUAGUAAUGUCGCUUGAGAUAUGUUAUUUCUUCCUCUUCUUACCUCGAUUCUAAGUAAAGUAUUUGUUUUCAGCCCAAUUUACUGUAUCGCGAAAAGGCAAGAGAUUGCUUAUGUAUGACGGGUAUACCUACUAUGCAAAAUCAGGGUUCAAUGAUGGAAAGGUGCAGUGGGUCUGUUCAACCCACUGGCCUCGCGGUUGCCGUGCUGCUGUUCAGACCUUUGAAGAUGUAAUAUUUUUGACGAAAGGAACUCACAAUCAUGUUGCAACUGAAAGCUACGUUCAGAAAUUGAAUAAAAUUGUUAAUUACUAUUUUUGUGUGAUCAAUGGAACUCUUAGGCCCAAAAGUAGUUUAUAUUGUAACUAUUUAACCCUAUUCGUGGCGAUGUACCUUAUAAGAUACAUAUGUAAUUUUACGCCCUCUUUUUGUAUUUUUCAAAGAUCUUUUUAUUACUAAGAUUCCGCUGUCCGUCCAUCCGUCCGUCCAUCCGUCCGUCCGUCCGUCCGUCCGUCUGUCACCAGGCUGUAUCUCAUGAACCGUGAUAGCUAGACAGUUGAAAUUUUCACAGAUGAUGUAUUUCUGUUGCCGCUAUAACAACAAAUACUAAAAAGCACGGAACCCUGGGUGGGCGAGUCCGACUCGCACUUGUCCGGUUUUUUUUUAUUCUAUUAGGCACAAUCGACUCAAGACUCAAGUAUUUUUUAUUUAUUUAGCAAGUAAAAUGUUGAAGCUCCAGAUUAAAAAAAUACGUUCUUCAACCUGUAGGCCUCUUUAAAGUCUUAAAAAUUCUUCAUAAGAAAAAAUACAAUGAUGAUAUGUAUUAAAACCCUUUAAUACAUAUACAUAUCAUCAUUCAUUAUUUAAACUCGUAUCUGUAACCAUUUUCUGUUCUGGCUAAAAUUACUUGGUUGAUGAGUUUAUCGUGUAAUAUCUACGAGUGUCCUAUAAAGGGAUAUCAGCAUUAUAUAAAAUACUGGAAAACUCAUCAACCAAGUAAUUUUAGCCAGAACAGAAAAUGGUUACAGACACGAGUUUCUGUCCUCUUUCGAUUCUCUCAGAUUCUAAGUAAAGUGUUUGCUUUCAGCCCAAUUUACUGUAUCCCAGAGAGGAAAGCGGUUGCUUAUGUAUGACGGAUAUACCUACUUCGCAAAAUCAGAGUUCAGCGGAAAGGUGCGAUGGGUCUGUUCGACCCACUGGUCACGCGGUUGCCGCGCUACUGUUCAUACCGUUGAAGAUGUAAUAAUUUCGACAAGAGGAUUUCACAAUCAUGUUGCAACUGGAAGUUAUGCUCAGAAAUUGAAUAAAGUUGUCAAUUACUAUUUUUCUGUGAUUAAUGGAAAACUUAACCCCAAAAUCUUCUUCACAAAAUCAUUACGCGGCAAUCGUCUCCUAGUACGAGAUGGAUUUACCUACUACGCGAAAUCAGGGUUCGGAGGGAAGGUGCGGUGGGUCUGUUCGACCAACUGGUCACGUGGGUGCCGCGCUUCUAUCUAUACUUACGAAGAUGUUAUAAUUUCGGUGAAAGAAAUUCAUAAUCACACUGCUAAAGUUCUAUGUGAAUGAGAAAAAAACCUUAGUAAAAAUAAAAAAUUAAAACUUAAAUUCAUUGCUCAGCUUCUAUCAUACCGCUAUAACCGUGAUCUUAUAGGUCAGGAUUACGUCGAACGUAUAUAUACUGUCCCUUGUUACAUUUAAUACCCCCCGGUUCAGGUCCCGUUCUCCAGAGAAACUGUUGCUCUGUAAGUGUAUAGAAAUAAUACUUAAUUUUACAAUCCUAAUGUAAGUAAGAAUGUGCCGUCAGUACAACAUGGCAUAGAUUUGCGAUCUUUCGAAAACAGGUUAUGGAAGUUCUUUGCCAGCGAUCACCUAAAUGCGAAUAAUGUUUUAUGUCUAAGAUUGUUUUAUUGUGUAAUUAAGUGUAGCCUUAGUAUAGUUGUAGUUAUCGCUCCUUUGGAGACAUUAAAAUGUUUAGAUAUUA
Molecule: long non-coding RNA, 3181 nt
Organism: Cydia pomonella (codling moth)
Lineage: Eukaryota; Metazoa; Arthropoda; Insecta; Lepidoptera; Tortricidae
Exons: 2
Source: RefSeq, a predicted model, not a curated record